RNAcentral lists this ribosomal RNA (440 nucleotides) under uncultured bacterium. RNAcentral describes it as "partial 16S ribosomal RNA". It matches the Rfam family "Bacterial small subunit ribosomal RNA", at positions 339 to 795 of the family's 1533-position model. The record is from RNAcentral.
CUACGGGAGGCUCCAGUGAGGAAUAUUGCACAAUGGGGGGAACCCUGAUGCAGCAACGCCGCGUGGAGGAUGACGCAUUUCGGUGUGUAAACUCCUUUUAUAUGUCAAGAAAAUGACGGUAGCAUAUGAAUAAGCGCCGGCUAACUCCGUGCCAGCGAGCCGCGGUAAUACGGAGGGUGCAAGCGUUACUCGGAAUCACUGGGCGUAAAGGACGCGUAGGCGGGUUGGAAAGUCAGGUGUGAAAUCCUACAGCUUAACUGUAGAACUGCACUUGAAACUUCUAAUCUAGAGUAUGGGAGGGGGAGAUGGAAUUAGUGGUGUAGGGGUAAUAUCCGUAGAUAUCACUAGGAAUACCUAAAGCGAAGGCGAUCUCCUGGAACAUUACUGACGCUAAGGCGUGAAAGCGUGGGGAGCAAACAGGAUUAGAUACCCUUGUAGUC